UCGAACAAUGUCAUGAUGAAAAACUUGUCUUGCCAGAGUGGUUUUGCCAAUACCACCCAUCCCUGAUAUGGAAACCACUUGAAUGUUAUCAUUCUUCACCAAAUGACCAACCAAUUCUUCAACACUCUCUUCCACCCCAACAAGGCCCUUUUCAGAACUCUUAGGAAAUGUUUGUCGGAUCUCCCUCUGCACCCUUUGUCUCUCUUUUAGAGACAGUGAACGACCAUCAUACAUGAUUUCUUUUAUUCCAAAGCUCUGCAUUUCCGCAACAACCUCAGACAUUCUCUUAGUUAUGCCUUCAAUUUCUAUAGAAAUAUCUCGGCGCUCCACUAAGAAACAAGAAAGCCCUUUCACACGCCUCUUGAUCCAUUUUUCGUUACCACUAGAUUCUUUCAAAAGAAAGGAUUCAAUUAUAUCUUCAGCAUCGUAAACAAUGUCUUUGACAUCUUCCAAGAAGUUUCUCACAGCUUCAUUUUUAUGUUUCUUGGCAUCUGCAUCUUUCAACAAUGACUGUAACUUUCUCAUUCGGCGUUUUAGAUCAUCAACAUGCUCGUGCACUCCCUGCAAUCGCUCAGAUUCUCGACUCAGGAGGUCCCAGAGUUUCUCCAUUCCAAAGGACACAACUCCCUCAACCAUCGCUGACACAACUACCUCAGCCAUCACUGAUUUCCUGUUCCAACGUCAACACAUAAGCCAACAAAAUAAUACAAAUAUCAAUCAGAGGAACUUAUUUUAAAUCAAACAAACUAAGAAUAAGAUUUGAUUAAAUGCCUUAAAUUCGCGAAACAAGAUUUUCUGAUAAUCCAAAUAAUUUUAUUUUAUUUUUAAAUCUGAUUCGACCAUAACAGAGGGCAAAAGACAGAUCAAAGCAAGUUAAGUCGAAAAAUAUGAUGUAGAAAAACAUGAUAUACCUUUUAUGAAACAGAUCUGCAACUAGGUUCUAUCUGAUUUACCUUUCAGCGACGUUCUUUGGAAGAAGCGAUAUGAGUUGCAAUGAAAGAGCAAGUCAACUUUUGCAGUCGCUUCUAUCUGUAAUAAUGCAUGUGGAAGCUGAGUGAAGCAGGAUUUUGUGGCGUGUUGGAGAAAUUGAGUCAAUCCCAAGUAAGAGCUAUUGUGACACAAAGAACAUGUGUUUUAACUUGACAGGAAGGAUGACAGGUGAAAUCUGAUAGAAAAAAUCAGUGUCAUAGAAAUCAAAUGGUUUCUGGUUCUAAAGAUUUAAAGGACCUAAAUCUAAAGAAGAUGGAUAAGCUGGGUAUAGGGAAGCUCAGACGUGGAUACUCAAGGUUUAAUGUCUUCAUAGGAGGUCUCGUUUCAGUAUUUAUGUGUCUGCCUUUUGUAAGUUGUGGAAUUUCUGUCUACAAUAGAGGUGAGACUAAUGCAGUUGAGAAUGGUGAAGACAUGGUUGAUAGCAGGAGGCAUGAGUUCUGAUAUGGUCAAGCCAGAAAAAAUAUAUUGUUGUGUAUUGAGUUGAGUCUAAGGCUAUAAGAGUUUAACAGCUUGUCAUAAGUUGAUAUGACUUAGACAUUUCAGUGUCUGAUCACUUUGGUGGAUCAAUGCCAAAAGUGGAAGCUUCGUUCAGAUUAGAGUUAUUGUGAUCUUCUUGUACAAAGAACUAGUUUGAAGGACUGUGGUAUAAAAGUUUGUGUCCAGUCUCUGACAAAAUUUCAAGGAAUGAACCAUGUAUAUACAGUCAAAGUUUUAAGACUGAAAGAAGAUCCACGUAAAGAGAAGUGAAGCUGAGGUUAAAGUCGCGUGAGUGUGUCUCUUAAAUGGUUAUUGUUCCAGGUGGAGCAAUUGGUAUUACAAAGAGGGAAAUACAUUCAGAAUGGGUUUGUUUCCGAGGUGGAACUAUAUUUUCAGAAGGAGUCUUGCCUUCUCAGAACGUUGAACAUCAAAGGAGGAUCUGAUGGAGUUUAAGAGGCUGCAUAUGUUUGAGUAUGUGAAGUUUUGUCAGGGUUAUCUUGCAGUGGACUGAGCCUUGGCUGUCUGUCUUCGUGAUAUUGGGUGUCAUGCAGCAUGUACUGUUGGUAUAAACAGCGGUGCACAGAGGUUCAUGUUGGCUGUAUUAGAAGAAAAGUCAAAAGUUUUUUUCUUCUGGCCUGGAGUGAAGAUUGAUGAAGAAUCAGUAGGAGUUUUGCAAAAAUCAGAAUAUGAGGAAGUCUCUAAAUUUAAUGGAAGUAAGAUCAGUGAAACACAGAAGGCUGCAUAAAGUUGUCUAUUUGCAGCAGGAGGAAUUCAGCAGUAAUCUUCUCCGAAGAAAUACACUUACAGGUUGAUCAAGUGGUGGAAGCUCAAUGUAAAGGAUGCUAGACGAAAGAGUUGGUUCAAGUCUGCGAAAAAGCAGGAGGCAAAGAAGCAAAGAUUUUGGUUGAUUAUGCACACUGUUGAAUGUGUUGCAGGUCUGUUACAGUUGAAGACACACAUCAUGAGCUCGAGUUUGAUGUGCAAGAAUCUGUAGAGAAUAUCUCAGGAGCAUCACAUGUUCUGUUGAUGAGAUAUAUGGUUAAAACGUACAAGUGGUGAACUACAAGCUACUGGUACUGGUCUGUUUGCUCAGGGAAUUGGACAAGGAACUUAUAUCGAAGGUAUUCACAACUAGGUGGAGUUAUGAGGCGUGAUCUGUUGACAUCCAACAGCGGUACAAGUUGGUUUUAAGGCUUAGUUGGCUAGACAGAUGGAUGUAAUUACAAAAAUGCAUUGCUUACUAACCUAAAGGUUUUGUUGAGAUUGUUUUGCAGGUUUGAAUCGAAGAUUGGUUCAUGAUGGGAACAUGUAUGUUUCUGGUUUUUGCAUAUGAUUCAUGAGUAAUUUGAUUUUAAACUCAGUGCACGAGGUGAAUCAAAUGAGUCGACAAGAGGAAUCAGGUUUGCAUAGAUAUAAAGGCUAUAUAUAAUUGCUGAAACAGUUUUAUGGUGUUUGAUAGAAACCAUGAUGAAAUCUGUGUGAUUGUUGAACUCCUAAGUGCUAGCUUUUAGAGUUGUCUCUUGGUUUAACAAUUUCUAAAUUCAUUAGUCUUGUUAAUGAGAUAUUCUUGAAUGGUUUCUCAGGUAUAUCAAAGAUCGAUAGGGGAUCAAUGAAGAGUAUUAGCUUAACACCAGUUUGUGUGAAAGCUGGUUAUGAUACUCAAAGGGGCAUUAGAAUGCCAAGAGUCUUCUAGAAGCAGUGUGGUUUACACAGCUGAAGUAUCCUUAGCAUUAUGUCUGGUUCAUUGAUUAUUAAUCAGGUUUAAGAUGAUUAAGUUUGUUUAACUGGUUGCUGUACAUAAGGUUUCUUAUGCAGGUCACUGGAGAUGGAUAUUUACCAAGUUUGGAGCUGGAACUUCACAGUUAGUUCACAGUGAAAAAGAGAGAUGUGAGAGACGGCAUUCGCUUAAGUAUUUUGGGUUCUCGUGGGUUUUUAUUCUCUUAAUUCUUCUUGUAAGGUUGAUUGGAUUGUAACCAACGGUGAUUGAUCUCCGUGUACAGCCACGCUGCGGUCGAUCAGAUUGAAAAGGUCAACUCGUUUGUGUUCUUUGAUAGAAGCUAAGCCAUGGAUUCUUGAAGUCAUGGAUUCUUGAAGUGAUCGGAUUCUUUGAAGCUCUUGUGUUCUUCUUGUAAGGUUGAUCGGAUUGUAACCAACGGUGAUUGAGCUCCGUGUACAGCCACCGCGGUCGAUCAGAUUAAAAAGGUCAACUCGUUUGUGUUCUUUGAUAGAAGCUAAGACAUGGAUUCUUGAAGUCAUGGAUUCUUGAAGUCAUGGAUUCUUGAAGUGAUCGGAUUCUUUCAAACUCUUGUGUUCUUCUUGUAAGGUUGAUCGGAUUGUAACCAACGGUGAUUGAGCUCCGUGUACAGCCACGCCACGGUCGAUCAGAUUAAAAAGGUCAACUCGUUUGUGUUCUUUGAUAGAAGCUAAGACAUGGAUUCUUGAAAGUCAUGGAUUCUUGAAGUGAUCGGAUUCUUUGAAGCUCUUGUGUUCUUCUUGUAAGGUUGAUCAGAUUGUAACCAACGGUGAUUGAGCUCCAUGUACAGCCACGCUGCGGUCGAUCAGAUUAAAAAGGUCAACUCGUUUGUGUUCUUUGAUAGAAGCUAAGUCAUUGAUUCUUGAAGUCAUGGAUUCUUGAAGUGAUCGGAUUCUUUGAAGCUCUUGUGUUCUUCUUGUAAGGUUGAUCGGAUUGUAACCAACGGUGAUUGAGCUCCGUGUAAAGCCACACCACGGUCGAUCAGAUUAAAAAGGUCAACUCGUUUGUGUUCUUUGAUAGAAGCUAAGUCAUGGAUUCUUGAAGUCAUGGAUUCUUGAAGUGAUCGGAAUCUUUGAAAGCUGGUUAUGAUACUCAAAUGGGCAUUAGAACGCUAAGAGUCUUCUAGAAGCAGUGUGGUUUACACAGCUGAAGUACCCUUAGCAUUAUGUCUGGUUCAUUGAUUAUUAAUUAGGUUUAAGAUGACUAAAUUUGUUUAAGUGGUUGUUGUGCAUAAGGUUUCUUAUGCAGGUCACUGGAGAUGGAUAUUUGCCAAGUUUGGAGCUGGAACUUCACAGUUCUAAGGGCAGUUCACGGUGAAAGAGAGGGAUGUGAGGGACAACAUUAGCUUAUGGGGCUGUUUUUUUUACCAUUUGUCAUCUCCAUCCAAAUGAUUCAUUUGUAUGAUCUAUUCAGAUGAUCCAUUCUCAUUUUUGUGAUUGUUUGUUUGUCCAUCCACAUGACUCAUCUAGAUGAAUCAUCUAAAUGGAUUUUAUGUUUGUUUCUUUAUUUUCAUUUCCAUUCAAAUGAGUUUAGUAAACAAAUUACCAAAAUACCCUUGUGUUGGUUUAAUCAUAUGUUUGAUAUUAAUUUUAACUAUAUUACAUUAAUUAUUUAGUUUAAUAUUUACAUUAGAAUUAUUUCAAAAUUAACGAAUUUUCUUUUUGCGGUUUGGGCGAGAAAAAAAAAAUUUUUUUGGUUUCAGCGACAAAACAAGAUUUUUCGGUUCUGGCGGGAAAACAAGAUUUUUCGGUUCUGGCGGGAAAACAAGAUUUUUCGGUUUUGGCGGGAAAAUACAAAUUUUCGGUUUUGGCGAGAAAACACGUUUUUGCAGUUUUGGCGGAAAAAGACGUUUUUGGCGGAAAAACGCGUUUUUGGCGGAAAAACACAUUUUUGCGGUUUUGGAGGGAAACCCAUUAAAAUGAAAUUUUUCGGUUUUGGCGAGAAAACGAGAUUUUUUGUUAUUGGCGGGAAAACGUGUUUUGCGGUUUUGGCAGGAAAACACAUUUUUGGCGGGAAAAUGCAUUUUUGUUGUUUUGGCGGGAAAAUGCAUUUUGCGGUUUUGGCGGGAAAAUGCGUUUUUGGUGGGAAAAUGUGUUUUUGUUGUUUUGGCGGAAAUACACGUUUUUGCGGUUUUGGCGGGAAAACAUGUUUUGCGGUUUUUACGGGAAAACGCGUUUUUGCGGUUUUGACGGGAAAACACAUUUUUGCGGUUUUGGCGGAAAAACACGUUUUGGCGGGAAAACGCGUUUUUGCGAUUUUGGCGGGAAAACGCGUUUUUGUGGUUUUUUCAGAAAAACAAGAUUUUUUGGUAUUGGCGAGAAAAUGAGAUAUUUCGGUUUUGGCGGGAAAAUACGUUUUUGCAAUUUUGGCGGGAAAAUGUGUUUUUGUGUUUUGGCGAAAAAAUGUGUGCUUGGGGUGUUAACGUGAAAACAUGUUUUUUUUUGUGAUUUUGGCAUGAAAACACGUUUUUCGGUUUUUGCGGAAAAAUACGUUUUUGCAAUUUUAACGGAAAAACACAUUUUUGCAAUUUUGGCGAAAAAUUGCGUUUUUGGGGGUUUUGGCGUGAAAAAUAGUUUUUAGGUUUUCGCGAGAAAAAGUGUUUUUGUAGUUUUGUCAGUUUUCGUAUGUGACAAAAAUGAUAUUAUUUUUAGGUUUGUAAUUUGUGAAUUACAUUAGGGGCAUAAUAGAUAUUAUACCAUUUUGAAUGAACCAUCUCUAUUCAAAUGAUCCAAAUUAGUUCCGCUGAAUGGACUUUAAAAUUAAGCCUAAAUUUCCAAAAGUCAUCCGGAUGAUCCAUCUGAAUGAGUUGUACUUUUAGUGUCUAAACAAAUAAAACUUUCAUCUUCAUCCAAAUGAUUCAUCCAGAUGGAGAAACAAACAGGCCCUAUGUAUCUUGGGGUCUCUUGGGUUUCUAUUCUCUUAUAUUCUUCUUGUAAGGUUGAUCGGAUUGUAACCAACAGUGAGUGAGCUCCGUGUACAACCACGCCGCGGUUGAUCAGAUUAAAAAGUUCAACUCAUUUGUGUUCUUUGAUAGAAGCUAAGUCAUGGAUUCUUGAAGUUAUCGAUGGUGAUUAGAAGGGUUUGAUUUUCAACAUAAGCAAACUAGUAAUAAGAUGAGUAAAUGCGUCAACUUCGUGAAACAAGAUUUCUAAUAAUCCAAAUAUGUUUUUUUUUUUUAUCUGAUUCGACCACAACAGAGUGCAAAAGACGGAUCAAAGCAAGUUAAGCAGAAAAAAUAUGAUAUAGAAAAACAUGACAUACCUUUUAUGAAACAGAUCUGCAACUCGGUUCUAUCUGAUUCACCUUUCAGCGACGUUCUUUGGAAGAAGAGAUAUGAGUUGCAACGAAAGAGCAAGUCAACUUUUGCAGUCGCUUCUAUCUGUAAUAAUGCAUUUGCUUUAGGCUAAGAAUGGUAGGUGGGAAAACUAGUGGGCGUUACACAAGGGGUGGGGCAUCCACCUUCUAUUACCACUCACAUAUCAACUAUGCAAUUUUAAAAUAAGAUAGAACCAUACACAAGCAGACAAGCAGUAAAAAUUAGUGGAUUAUACACCCAAACAGUAAAUAAACGCCUUUUACCUGUGAAAGAAGGGUAGCAUACACUCUGUGCCUUUUUCUUUUCUUUUUUUUUUCAAAAAAUAUUAGAUAAUGUAAAAUAUUAUUAAAGUAAAAAAAAAAUUUACAAUACAUUAUUCAUGAAACAUAACUCUCUUUGCCUUUCCGCAAAAUCAUUUAUCAACUUCGAAUAAUCAAGUUUUUCUGCUAAUUCAUGCUCUAUUAUAUCAUCGACAAUCCAUUCAAACGGUCUUGAGACAUAAUCGAACGUAGACAAUUCGUCUAACAUACUUAAGCAUAUCAUUAGCUCGAAUUUCGUCACUUCAUCUUGUCUGGCUUUUUUUUCCUAUUUUGAAAUCGACUUGGUUGAUUUCUUAUUCUAUUUCAUGGAAGCAUUCUCUACAGACAACAAUUCAAAAACAUUAAAAACAUAAUUUAGAUAAAAUACACCAAUACAUUACAUAUGCUAGAACAUAAAACAAGUAAAUAACAAUCAUAAUUUAAGAAAAUUUCAGAUUUUCUUACAAAUUUUUUUUUUUAAAAAGAAAUAAAAGAAUAGGAAAAACUCACAUAGAUUCAGAGAAUGUGGAGUAUAAUGAUCUGCAUAGAAGAAUAAACAAGAAGGUUGAAAAAGGAGAAGAUGGAACGUCAAUUGUAAGAGUAAAUAAAAUAGGUAGUUAUUGUAAUUUAUGUAUUUUAUCAUUGAAUAUAAUACUAGGUUAAGACCCACACCUUGCGCGGGAUGAACAUUAUAUAUAUAAAUUAUUUUAUAUAUUAUAUAUUUAUAAUAUAUUAUGAAAUAAUAAAUAUAUAUUGAAUAAUUAAAAAUUCAUUAUCUACUACUUAUAUAAUUAAAUUGGUGCGAAUAUAUAAAUAAGUUUUAUAAAUCAAAAAAUAUUUUUUCUAUUUGAUAUGAUUAUAAUUAAAUUUAUAUGAUAGUAACAUAUAUAUGGUAUAUUUUAACAUUAAUAUUUAUUAGAUCAUGCUUUUUGCUCAUAUUUUUUUAUCAUUUGCAUCUAUUAUAGCAAAAAAUCUAAAUUAGUGAUAACAAAAUUUUCAGUGUGGAAUUAAAUUUUUAAGCAAUUUAUAAUAUUUUAAAAAAAUAAGUUAUCAAUAUUUUUUUCAAAAUUUUUAUCAAAAAAUGUUCAAAGAAAAUUUCAAAAUUAAGAUAUUUAUGUAUUUUUAUAUGACAUAUAGUUUAAUUUAAUGAUACAUAUAUUUAUAUAUCUUUUAUUUUUGAUACUUAUUAAAUAAGACUUUCAACUUAUAUUAUUUUUGGGGGAAUUUUACUUAUACACUUUUUAUGAUACCACUUUUCAACUUUACCAUCAAUCGAAAGGCAUUUUCAAAAAUACCACAUUCAUUAAUGUGUAAAAGACAAUAUUGCCCUUAACUUAUCUUCAACUCAUUUCUCUCUCUCUCGUGAAUCUCCGUUCGUCGUCUAUCGUCUCUGUUCAGAUCCGCUGUUUUCCGUUCAGAUCCGCCGUCUCCGUUCAGAUUCGCCGUCUCUGUCCUCCAGAUCCGCCGUCUCUGUCCUGAACCGACGUCUUCGUCCAGAUUCGUCGUCUUCGUCCAGAUCCACGAAGCAAUCGAGAUCGAGACUCAAAACUUCAAAUGUUGAAUCCUCAGCAAGAAUCACAACCUGUAAGUAUUUUUUCGGAUUUUGUUGUUUUGAUCUAAGAGAAAGAGUUAUCUAUUAAUAGUCUGAUCUAAGAGAAAGAUUUCUAAUAGUGAACAUUGAGUUUUUGAAAAUUUAUAACUCUUUAUAAAUCGAAGUUAUUUAGUAAUGUAAUUGACAUGUUCAGUUCCCGACACUCAUAAAAGAAGCAUAUGUUCAAGCUUAUAUGAGAUCCACAACUCUGCCAUCACACAUUUUCUUUGAUCUACAAUGUUAAUCAUCAAAUUCAUCAUUGUCUCUUGUUUUUUUUUCUAAAGUCUUAUUGAGCAACCAUUGACAUUUUUAGUUUCUUCUUGUGUCUGAGAUUGCAGAGUCUGUUUCUUUUAGCAGCGAUAAAAAGUAUGAUAUAACGCAAGUGAAGGCUCCACCUCAGCUGCAGAAAAAGAUGUGUUAAGUAACUCAAUCAACUAAAAGACAAUUUAGAAAGGCUUAUAAGACAGUUUAUAAAGUUUGUUAAAUAAUUUAUAAGGUUUAUAAAUUCUGCACAAUUUUGAAGUUAACUACGAGGUAUUGUGAUACUUCAACAGAGCUACCAGACAAGCCAAAACUGAUCAUCCAACGUUCAAAUAUGAAUUAUGUUGAAAAUGAUUUUUUGUAUUUUAGGUAAGGAGGAAUUUAGUGAAAUUGAGAAUUCACACCUUGCGGAAGUGUUGUAGAACUAGCUAGAAAGAAUAACAUUCAAUUUUCAGGAAAACCUUAUGCAAAUAAGAUUAUUGAUGAAUGGGGGUAGAUCUAUGGUUCACUUUCUCAUAUCAACCAAUGGGGUUAGAUCUAUGAUUAUUGAUGAAUGUAAAUAAUUUAUAAAAGCUUAUAAAAAACGUUAUGAAAGCAUACAUUCAAUUUAUAAGGGUAUUAUAUGAGUUCCAUAGGUUUAUAAAUCAACUAAAAGAGUCUAUAACAAUUUAGAAAGCCUUAUAAAACAAUUUAUAAUGGUUUGUAUAAUAAUUUAUAAGGGUUUAUAAGGGUACGUAAAUAAUGUAUAUGGGUUUAUAAAAAUAAUUUAUUAAGUUUAUACACCAUUAUAAAUAUUAUAAAAUGAUUUAUAUGGGAAUUUAAAAUUUCUGAAGCGGUGGAGUCUUGAUUGCUGUCCACAUGUACCUCAGAAUCUGCCAUGUAUCAUCAUCUCUUUACAAAGCCUUAUAAGGAUAUGUAAAAUUAUUUGUAGGAGUUUAUAAACUAUUAAUAAAUGCAUAUAAAACAAGUUAUAAAAUCUAUAAACCAUUUAUAAAUGUUUAUAAGAAAGUUAUGAAAGUUUAUAAACAAUAUAUAAGGGGCAUGUAUACUAUUAAUAAGAGUUUAUAAAAACUGUAUGAAAGAUUAUAUUCAAUUUAUAAGAGGUAUUAUAAGAGUUGUAUAGGUUUAUAAAUCAACUAAAAGAGUCUAAAACCAUUUAGAAAGCCUUAUAAAACAAUUUAUAAUGGUUUGUAUAAUAAUUUAUAAGGGUUUAUAAGGGUAUGUAAAUAAUGUAUACGGGUUUAUAAAAAUAAUUUAUUAAGUUUAUACACCAUUAUAAAAUAUUAUAAAAUGAUUUAUAAGGGAAUUUAAAAUUUUUGAAGCGGUGGAGUCUUGAUUGCUGUCCACAUGUACCUCAGAAUCUGCCACGUAUCAUCAUCUCCUUACAAAUCCUUAUAAGGAUAUGUAAAAUUAUUUGUAAGAGUUUAUAAACUAUUAAUAAAUGCAUAUAAAACAAGUUAUAAAAUCUAUAAACCAUUUAUAAAUGUUUAUAAGAAAGUAUGAAAGUUUAUAAACAAUUUAUAAGGGGCAUGUAUACUAUUAAUAAGAGUUUAUAAAAACUGUAUGAAAGAUUAUAUUCAAUUUAUAAGAGGUAUUAUAAGAGUUGUAUAGGUUUAUAAAUCAACUAAAAGAGUCUAAAACCAUUUAGAAAGCCUUAUAAAACAAUUUAUAAUGGUUUGUAUAAUAAUUUAUAAGGGUUUAUAAGGGUAUGUAAAUAAUGUAUACGGGUUUAUAAAAAUAAUUUAUUAAGUUUAUACACCAUUAUAAAAUAUUAUAAAAUGAUUUAUAAGGGAAUUUAAAAUUUCUGAAGCGGUGGAGUCUUGAUUGCUGUCCACAUGUACCUCAGAAUCUGCCACGUAUCAUCAUCUCCUUACAAAUCCUUAUAAGGAUAUGUAAAAUUAUUUGUAAGAGUUUAUAAACCAUUAAUAAAUGCAUAUAAAACAAGUUAUAAAAUCUAUAAACCAUUUAUAAAUGUUUAUAAGAAAGUUAUGAAAGUUUAUAAAUAAUUUAUAAGGGGUAUGUAUACUAUUAGUAAGAGUUUAUAAAAACUUUAUGAAAGAUUAUAUUCAAUUUAUAAGGGGUAUUAUAAGAGUUGUAUAGGUUUAUAAAUCAACUAAAAGAGUCUAUAACCGUUUAGAAAGCCUUAUAAAAUAAUUUAUAAUGGUUUGUAUAAUAAUGUAUACGGGUUUAUAAAAAUAAUUUAUAAAGUUUAUACACCAUUAUAAAGGAUUAUAAUAAAACAAUUUAUAAGGAUAUGUAAAAUUUCUGAAGCGGUGGAGCCGUGCUUGCUGUCCACAUGUGCCUUAGAAUCUGUCACGUAUCAUCAUCUCUUUACAAAGCCUUAUAAGGGUAUGUAAAAUUAUUUGUAAGAGUAUAUAAACCAUUAAUAAAGACAUAUAAAAAAAGUUAUAAGAUCUAUAAAUCAUUUAUAAAUGUUUAUAAGAAAGUUAUGAAAGUUUAUAAAUAAUUUAUAAGAGGUAUGUAUACUAUUAAUAAGGGUUUAUAAAAACUUUAUGAAAGCCUUAAAACAAUUUAUAAUGGUUUGUAUAAUAAUAUAUAAGGGUUUACAAGAGUAUGUAAAUAUUUUAUAAGGAUUUAUAAAAAUAAUUUAUAAAGUUUAUACACCAUAAUAAAGGAUUAUAAAAUAAUUUAUAAAAGUAUGUAAAAUUUAUGAAGCAGUGGAGUCUUGCUUGCUGUCCUCAUGUGCCUCACAAUCUGCCACGUAUCAUCAUCUCUUUACAAAAGUAUAUAACUAUUUAUACAGGUUUAUAAAACUAUUUAAAAGGGUGUAUUAAACUAUUUACAAGAACAUAUAAGCUAUUUAUAAGUCUAUUGUUAAAAGUACAACUCGACGAUUUAUAAAUUCUUAUUAAGAAGUUUUUAAACAAGAGUUGAUUGUAUAUGUCUAUACAAAACACAUAAAUGUUUGAACUUGAGAAGUCUUGUGAGGAAUGCUAGGCAGAAUGAGUGUAAGAAACUCAAAGUGAUUUAUAAGCGUUUAUAAAUUUAUUUACAAUGGUUUAUAAGGUAAUUUUUUUAAAAUCCCUCCAAAAGACAAUCAACACAAAAAAACAUAUCUGGUGAAAGAGCCACGUCCUUCAACAAGGGAUAUAUUGCUUUAACAUAGUCUGAGAACAUCAAGGCUUCUCCAUAUCUCACUCUUCUAUAAAAGAAACAAUUGAAACCAAACUCACUUACAUGUCCAACUAAUAUCUUCAAUUAUGCAACUACUAAAAGAGAGAUACAAUUGUUUUAGUAUAAGAGAUGUCUAAAUAAGAUGAGAGAGAAGAAUGUACUAAGAAGCCAACUCUGCAACUUUUAUAAAGCGUUAUAAAUACGUAAUUCUUUGAUAGUACAAACCACAUUCUUCUUCAGAGUCUCUCUUGCCUCUUCAAAUAGCUCACCAACCUCGUAAAUUUUCAAAAUCUGAACAAAAGCCAGUCACAUAUUAUUUCUACGCAUCAGCAUUCACUUCCAAAAAUAAGAUUCAAAAAUAGUAUACUUUCGUAACUCAACAAACUCAUCAUUCAUCUUCACUGCUUCUGUAGAUAUUAUACACAAAACAAGACAUAAAAAAUAAACUCAUAAAGUAUAAAUAGAACGUUACACUACCAAAACACCAACGUUCCACCUCAUAUACUGCACAUACUAAAACAUUGCUAGUCAAACUACAAAUAGUAGCAUUGUAUUACCUUAAGGAAGUGAGAUACUUAGAUAUGCAUAUCACCACACAUAUUCUCCACAACAUCCUUUAAAUCCAAAAGCUGACAACACACAUUUGUAAUUCUCUACAACAUCACCAAAUCAACCAAGAAAAGAAGUAAUCAUAGAAUAAUUAUACUCUUAGGUUAGUACCUUCUCAUGAAUUAAAUAAUUAUAUAAAUCUGAAAACUAUGACAAUAAAUCAACCAAAUCAAUAAUUGUACUCUUACGUUAAGCUUUGUGUCUUUUGAUUGCUAACAGAUCAACAGUAAGAUUUGAAAGGAUCCAAUUUAUAAGAUCUUAUAAAUUUGAGAUCUGAAAACUUCACUUGAAAAACUUCGUCUUCUUUCUUAGAAACAUAUCGAUUUUGAUAAAUCAAGCUAAAAUUACAGAAAGAGGCAAAAAUCACCAUAUACUAUCAUCUUACCUUUGUUAGUGUUUCUUAGGCGUUGGGAGAGAGAUCGUCUCGUUCGUCUGAGCUUGCCGAGUCUGUCAGCUUUGCCGGAGAACUUCUCGGCAUGCGAUUCGUGACGAACGUGACCGAUUUAGCAUCGGAGGAUUACUACGACUACAUAAUGCCGGCAGAGGAACGGCGGGAUGUCCACUCGCCGCCACGCUCUCCCAAUCCGGUCGAGUUCGUCGGAGAUCGUCGAGUUCGCCGGAGAUCGCCAAGUUCGCCGAAGAUCGCCGAAUUCGCCGGAGAUCGCCGAGUUUGCCGGAGAUCUCGUUGGAGCUCGUCUCAAUUUGAUCUCAUUUUCAUCUCGUGACAGACAUUUGGAGAAGAAUAGAUCUAGGUUAAAUUAAUGAAAUGAGGGGUAUAAUGGUACUUUAGCCAUUAAAAUUUUAAUGGUAAAUUUGAAAAGUGUAAAGUUGAAAAGUGGUAUUAGGAAAGUGGUAUUAGUGGCAAUUCCCCAUUAUUUUUUUAAUUAUUUGUAUCAUGUCAUAACAAAAAUUUUAAAUCAUAGAUUACAAAAUUUGAAUGUGAAACUUUUAACAGUUUUAGUAAUUUAUACUCGUUUUUAAAAAUUCAAAAUAAAAUAUAUAAAUAUUUUUUUUAAUUUUUAUUAUAUGGUUACUAUGAUUGUUUAAUUUAUUUUAAUAGCUUAAAAUUAAACAAAUAUAAUUAUAAUACACACUUAUUUUUAUCAAAUCUUUAUUAUUCAAAAUCAUUAAUUGUCAUAUAUACUUUAGCCACAUUCGGCAAUUUCGUAAUCUUAUUUAAGGAAAUAAUGAAAACAUUAAUAAUAUAUUUAUUGUGGUUUAAUAAAAAGAUUAUUAUAUAUUUAGAUGGACCAACUUAUUUCUCUAAGGAUUCUAAGAAUCAUUCUAGUGAUGACACGUGGCUACAAAAAAAUGUUGCAAUGCUUCUCAAAUAAUAUAUAGGGGAUAUAAGGAAAUUUAAAAAUUUAGAAAAGGUAAUCAAUCAUUACGAUCAAAUCAUUCAGUUAUUAUUAGGGGUGGGCAAAAUAUCCAUAAUUUUGAUUUGAUUCGUUAUGUAUAUAUAUAUAUAUAUACAUAUACUUAAAGAAGUAUAUAUAUAUAUAUAUAUAUAUAUAUAAGCUGUAUCAAUUUUUUCUUUAUUUUUAAAAUUUUUAUUUUAUUUUUACGGAUCAAAUCAGAUAUCUCGUAAAAAUCUAAAAAAAUUUCGGAUAUCCGGAACAGCGAAUAUCUGGAAGGCUAUUCGUGCCCACCCCUAGUUAUAUUUGGCUGGAAGCAUAUUUGAACCCAUGCCUAGAGGAGCAAGAAAAAGUACAUAGCCAACAUACCAAAGAAACUUCACUGAACAUUAUGCCCAUAAUUUUUAAUAAAUCUUGGUGCUCCAAGCCUUUGUUUUAUGGGCUUUAGUCCAGGGCUAGGCCUAGCUUUACUCUCACCAAGCGCCAUGGCGAGGCAAGUCGAUCAGCCAUGUGUAACUCACAUGCAAAACCGUAAUUAUCCAUUUUCAACUUUUAAGUCAUGUUAAGCCAUAUAUAAAAACAGUAAACAGAAUCAUAAAACCAAUUCCAUUUUUGUUGGCUAUAACAAGAACUAGACUAGUCGAAGAUCACAUAAUUUUUGUAUGCUUCGGUUUGUUGAUAGAUUAUAUCAGACGGCACAGCUACUCUAUUAAACCAAGGCCGGUUGAGUAACCAAAAUUUGCACAAACCAUGCAGAUAAAUCAUCGAAGCCGCGCUUUGCGCGCCUUAAAGCAUCUCCAAAAAGAUUCUUUAUUUUAUAAUUUGCAAAACUCUAUAUUUAAAUUUUGGAAGUCCCGGAGCAAAUUUAUUAAACGAUUAGUGUUGUUGUAAUAUUUAAAUUUGUGUAAUAAUUAUUUCUUCAUGUAUCUUUUUAAAAAAAUUAUUAAGUUUUUUUUGGAAUAAUCUUGUUGUAUAGUUCUAGUUUUACAAUAUUAUAAAUCUUAUUUUAUUUUCUGUGUAAAAUCUGAAUUUAUAAAAACAAAUUUUAAAUAUCUAUGAUAUACAAAAGUUUUAAUGAUUAAGACGAUAAAUGAGAAAAUACUUAAAAAUCAUAAAUAUGAUAUGUAAUUAAUUAUAAAGACAAAAAUGCAAAUAAAAAGAUGAAACUUUAAAUUUGGAGUUUUUAGGAGUGAAACUUCAAAUAUGAAGUUUUAAUCCUUAAAAUUUCAAAUUUGAAGUUUUGAAGUUCUUUUUUGGUUUUGAAGUUCUUUUUUGGAGAACAAAAAACUUUGUAUUUGAAGUUAUAAAAUUUCUUUUGGAGAUACUCUUACGUGAUACUAGUUUAGCACUCAAUGGCGAGCACUUUCUGUACCUCGCCUGGCCUUGGGGUCUUGAGGCGAUGAGGACAUAGCUAGAUGUCUCCAAGCGCCAUAGCGGUCAAAUCGAUCACCAUUUAAAACCAAACUUAAAACACCUUAAAAUAUAUUUUUUUUUAUUAAAAGAACACAAAAAAAAAAUGACCAAAAUAAAUUUCAUUAAAAAGGUAAAAAAAAAAACUUUUACCUUUAUUUUAUAGAUAUUUAAAUAUACAUAUAAUUUUAUAAAUAAAAAAUAUUGUUAUUUUCAAAUAAUAUGUUUUUAAAUUUGAAUUUUUUUAUCUUUAUUUUGGAAUAUUAAAAAAAAAAUUGAAAUCCAAAAAUUCUUUUUAAAACUAUUUUAAAUUUUUAUUUUUUUAUUUUUUUAAAAAAAAUCCUAAAUCCCAUCUCUUCAAACCUUCACCUUUCAAAUCUAAACUAUAAUUUUAUAUUAGCUAACUAUAUAUUUCAAAAAAUAAAAUUGUAUCUAAAUAUAUUUACAUUUUUAAUGAAACAUUUUGGUCAUUUUGAUCUUUAUGAACUAUAUUUAUGAUAAAAACUUUUUAGGAUCGAUAGACAGUUCUGCAUAUACGUCAUACUCGAUGAAGAUGAACUCCGCAACCCACGUUCAUUAGCUCUGCUUUCAGCAUUCUGAAAUUUACAAUAGGCUUACAUCCAAUAAUCUACAAGAAAUUGAAAUCGAACCUUGGUGUAAAAGCCUAUGGUUCCGCAAAUUUAGUUUUCUUUAUUAACCAAGAUAGCUUUAACUAUGUGAAAUCUGAAUAUUAGGUUUUAACACAGAUUAUUAUCGUGAUGAGCUCAAUCUGUCUAUAGGGAUGUUUAGCACCAAGUUUACGUUGUAGUGAAUAUUCGGAACCAAGUUUACAUUGUAGGAUUCUCAAAUGUAAACUUGAAGGAAUAAUAGUUCAGUUUAUAGAAUUACUACUGAUUUAAAGCUUUUGAAAAUUGUUAAUCAAAUUUUAUUUAUGUAUAAAUAGGUCCAAAACUUAUUAAUUUGAGAAGAGUAUAUUUUGAAUGAUUUGAGUUUAUAAAAAAGAAUGAAAAAACAGAAUUGGACAGUUAACACUAUCCUGUUACAAGCCACACGAUCCUUUCUUCCUUCCUUAGACGAAGAACUCGCGAGUCACCACCAUGAACCCAACGCAGACGCUUUACCCCUCCGGCGGUAACUCGCCGUCACCUCAUUCAACGCACCCGUCAUCCCUCUUCCCUCAAAUCAACAGAUGCCGAACCAUGCGCGACCUCUCCCAAAUCCACGCCACAUUCGUCAAAUCCGGCCAAAUGCGAGACACUCUCGCCGCCGCGGAGCUCCUCCGCUUCUGCGCCACCACCUCCGAUCUCCUCCACCGCGACCUCGAUUACGCGCACAAGAUCUUCACCCAGAUGCCUCACCGCAACACCUUCUCCUGGAACACUAUUAUCCGAGGCUUCAGCGAGAGCGAAGAGCAAAACGCAAUCAUCGCGAUCGCACUCUUCCACGAGAUGAUGAAAGACUCGGUCGAACCGAACCGGUUUACCUUCCCGUCACUCCUCAAGGCCUGCGCGAAAACCGGGAGGAUCGAAGAAGGCAAGCAGAUCCACGCGCUGGCGUUGAAGCUAGGGCUUAGCGGCGACGAGUUCGUGAUGAGCAAUCUCGUGAGGAUGUAUGUGAUGUGCGGUUUGAUGAGAGACGCGUGCGUGUUGUUUUAUAAAAACAUUAUAGGGAGAGAUAUGGCUGUGAAUAUGAUGGUUGAUGGUGGUAGAAAGAGAGACGGUGAGGUUGUUAUAUGGAAUGUGAUGAUUGACGGUUACAUGAGGCUUGGUGAUUGUAAAGCUGCGCGGACGUUGUUCGAUCAAAUGCGUGUGAGAAGCGUUGUUUCUUGGAACACUAUGAUCUCUGGCUAUUGCAAGAACGGGUGCUUCAAGGAGGCUGUGGAGAUUUUCUGUGAGAUGAGGAGAGUUGAUUUGCGUCUUAGUUAUGUCACUUUGGUUAGUGUUUUGCCUGCGGUUUCUCGGAUAGGGUCGUUGGAGUUGGGAGAGUGGUUGCAUUCUUAUGCGGAGAGUAAUAGAGUGGAGGUUGAUGAUGUGCUUGGCUCUGCUUUGAUUGAUAUGUACUCCAAAUGCGGAGUUGUGGAGAGAGCGGUUGAGGUGUUUGAGAGGUUACCGAGGAAGAAUGUGAUUACUUGGAGUGCUAUGAUUAACGGGUUUGCUAUACACGGCCUAGCGGGUGAUGCUAUUGACUGUUUUUGUAGAAUGAGGGAGGCUGGAGUUAAGCCUAGCGAUGUUGCGUACAUCAAUCUCUUGACGGCUUGUAGCCAUGCUGGGUUGGUAGAAGAAGGGAGAAAGUAUUUUAGUCAGAUGGUGAAUGUGGAUGGUUUAGAUCCUAGGAUUGAACACUACGGGUGUAUGGUUGAUCUAUUGGGACGCUCGGGUCUUCUCGAAGAGGCUGAGCAGUUUAUACACAACAUGCCCGUGAAACCAGAUGACGUGAUAUGGAAAGCUCUUUUGGGUGCUUGCAGAAUGCACGGGAACGUGGAGAUGGGGAAACGUGUGGCUAAUAUUCUGAUGGAUAUGGUUCCUCAGGACAGUGGAGCUUAUGUGGCUCUCUCAAACAUGUACGCUUCUCAAGGAAACUGGUCGGAGGUUUCGGAGAUGAGGCUGAGGAUGAAGGAGAUGGAUAUAAGAAAAGACCCCGGGUGUAGCUGGAUCGAUGUUGAUGGUGUGCUUCAUGAGUUUCUUGUGGAAGAUGAUUCUCACCCGAGAGCCAAAGACAUUAACUCGAAGCUUGCGGAAAUCUCAGAGAAACUGAGACUGGCUGGGUAUAGACCCAUCACUACGCAGGUUUUGCUGAACUUGGAGGAAGAGGAUAAAGAAAACGCGCUUCAUUACCAUAGCGAGAAGAUCGCUGUUGCGUUUGGGUUGAUAAGCACAACACCUGGUAAACCAAUACGCAUUGUUAAGAACCUGCGUAUCUCCAAGUCAGAAUAUACAAAUCAACAAAGCACUCACAAGGGAAACAUUGAAGAAAAUAUGGUUACACAUACAAAAAGUAUUUCAAACUUAGCAUUACAGAGAGUGAGCAAUAGAUCACAACAACAACAAAAACAACGACUUCAUACAAUCAAGAGUGGGUACUUGAUUCUGAGUAAGUUCACCUGAAAACCGAAUAAUAAAAAGUUUAGAUGAGACUUUCACACUAAACUUCAAGGAGGAUAAAUAGCCAACAAAAAUGAACAAUAUGUACAAUAUACCAAAUAUAUAUAUAUAUACCUGAGACGUUUUAUUCUCCUUAUUCGUCGCUGGCACGCAACAAAAACGCCUUAUAUUCCAUCAGAAUAUCAUCAACAGUGCGUACUGAUUCACCUGAAAACCGAAUAAUAAAAAUGUUAGAUAUUUGAGACCAUGUACUACGAGUCUGCGACAUCUACGACUUUGAGCAAUGACAUUAGAACUGGAAGUAGAGGCUUUGAAGAAUUAAAGAAAGUUCUCCUUUUUUGGCUUCAUGUAAGCAUACUUCUCUCAUCAUGUCAUGCAUUUGACAAGAAUCCCAUCUCCAACUCAAACUAUCUUUUUCAGCAAUAACCAUAUUUCUCCUUAUUAACUCUUCCAAGUAUUCUUCUCCACUCUCUCGAAUGGUUGGUCCAUCGCAACUUGACGUUAUUAUUCCUUCUGCUGCCCAGAAAUAACACAAUUUAUUCACUUGUAUCUUGUAAUCUUCAGGUAAAUAAGCUAGGCAAAGGAAGCAAUGCUUUAACUCCAUUGACAAAUCUGAUACGUAGGAGGGGAUGAGGUGGCAUUCACGUGAGCAAUGCACGUGAGCACAUAACAUUUCACAUGGGAAGGAUGCUGAGCUGGCUGCUCUCCAACUUGCUGCUUACUCUUUCUAUUUAAGCUGUAGUUUGCUAGAGAGAAAGGUUAUCUAGAGUUUGAGUGAAUAAUCAGAGAGAGAUGUAGAGAGAUCUUCGAGAGAAGGAUUUGUAAUCGGUUUCUCUUGUAAAAUCACUAUUUCUCUCAAUACAAUCAGUAUUUCAUCUUUAGAUCAUUGUUUUCACAUCUACUCGUAACAAAAUCUUCAUAGCUCAGGGACAAAACUCGGCAAACUGAAUCUUUUUUGUUGUCAUCUAACUGAAUGAUCUGAGUUUGAAUAUUUUUUAUAUACUCGUUCCCACUCGUCAACCAUUUUUUUAGCUAACAAGCCUCCCAGCACUUUAACAGCUAACAGUAGUCCUCCACAAUAUGUAACCAUUUUCUUACCCAUAUCUUCUAGCUCUUUAUCAACACCAAAUUCUGCGAAACAAUAGCAUAUAUUAUAAGACAAUGGCCAUGAACAAUAUGUCUACCCUAGAAGAUAAAUUAGUGAAUUACUCCACAAGAUUUUUGAUUAUAGGAGGUAAGAGAUAUCACAUUCAGUGUCUUAAUUAACAAACGUACCAGUUUUGUCUCUUCUAGAUAAUGCUAUCCCCUCACAUAGCUUCCAAGUUCCAACUUUCCUCGGGAUUAAGGAUUUUUGGUGUAAAGGCAAAACAUGUUGGGUCUGCAUGUAAACCAACACCUUCAUCGCGAGAAGUAAGAAUCACUUUCCAACCUGCAAAUUAAAUUUUCUUUUAUGUCAGUUAGGGAUUAAAAGGCAUUUAUGAAACUGCUAACGGAAGCACUUAAGUAAUGUAUGAAAAAGUAAAGAGCUCGCCUCUUUCUUGGGGGAAAACGUCUUUUAUUAGAUCCCAGUCUUCAUUUUUCCAUACAUCAUCGAUGACAAUUAAAUGUCUAGAUUUUCCCAGCAAUAGAAAGAGCUCUGCCUGGAGUUUAUUCUCAUCCAUCUGUUUGAUGUUCUCAUCAUGUGGUCUAAGAUCUUGCAAGAUCUUUUGCCAGAUAUCCUUCCGCUGAAACUCUUUUGAAACACAUACCCAUGCGAAUCGAUUAAAACGAUGUCGAACAAUGUCAUGAUGAAAAACUUGUCUCGCCAGAGUGGUUUUACCAAUACCACCCAUCCCUGAUAUGGAAACCACUUGAAUGUUAUCUUUCUUCACCAAAUGACCAACCAAGUCUUCAACACUUUCUUCCACCCCCACAAGGCCCUUUUCAGAACUCUUCGGAAAUGUUUGUCGGAUCUCCCUCUGCACCCUUUGUCUCUCUUUUAGAGACAGUGAACGGCCAUCGCUCAUGAUUUCUUUUAUUCCAAAGCUCUGCAUGUCCGCAACAACCUCAGACAUUCUCUUAGUUAUGCCUUCAAUGUCUAUAGAAAUAUCUCGUCGGUUCCCUAAGAAACAAGAAAGUUUUCUCACACGCCUCUUGAUCCCUUUUUCUUUACCACUAGAUUCUUUCAAAACAAAGGAUUCAAUUAUAUCUUCAGCAUCAUAAACAAUGUUUUUGACAUCUUCCAAUAAGUUUCUCACAACUUCAUUCUCAUGUUUCUUGGCAUCUGCAUCUUUCAACAAUGACUGUAACUUUCGCAGGUGACGUUCUAGAUCAGUAACAUGCUCAUGCACUCCCUGUAAUCGCUCAGAUUCUCGACUCAGGAGGUCCCAGAGUUUCUCCAUUCCAAAGGACACAACUCCCUCAGCCAGCACUGACACAACUACCUCAGCCAUCACUGAUCUCCUGUCAGAGGAACUUUUUUUCUUAACUUAUUUUUAAUGAAAUAAUUUUAUUUUAUUUUUAAAUCUGAUUCGACCAUAACAGAGGGAAAAAAGACAGAUCGA
RNAcentral lists this long non-coding RNA (20840 nucleotides) under Brassica rapa (field mustard). Its description in RNAcentral is "long non-coding RNA (BRAP_LNC004643)". The record is from RNAcentral. Lineage: Eukaryota; Viridiplantae; Streptophyta; Magnoliopsida; Brassicales; Brassicaceae.